Molecule: ribosomal RNA, 845 nt
Filed under: Oxydothis cf. hohnelli HKUCC 3854
Lineage: Eukaryota; Fungi; Ascomycota; Sordariomycetes; Amphisphaeriales; Oxydothidaceae
Description: eukaryotic LSU rRNA
Rfam family: Eukaryotic large subunit ribosomal RNA
Source: RNAcentral
AUUGCCCUAGUAACGGCGAGUGAAGCGGCAACAGCUCAAAUUUGAAAUCUGGCUUCGGUCCGAGUUGUAAUUUGUAGAGGAUGCUUUUGGCGAGGUGCCUUCUGAGUUCCCUGGAACGGGACGCCUUAGAGGGUGAGAGCCCCGUACGGUUGGACACCAAGCCUCUGUAAAGCUCCUUCGACGAGUCGAGUAGUUUGGGAAUGCUGCUCAAAAUGGGAGGUAUAUUUCUUCUAAAGCUAAAUACCGGCCAGAGACCGAUAGCGCACAAGUAGAGUGAUCGAAAGAUGAAAAGCACUUUGAAAAGAGGGUUAAACAGUACGUGAAAUUGUUGAAAGGGAAGCGCUCAUGACCAGACUUGUGCCCUGCGGAUCAUCCAGCGUUCUCGCCGGUGCACUUCGCUUGGUUCAGGCCAGCAUCAGUUCUCUCGGGGGGAUAAAAGCUUCAGGAAUGUGGCUCUCUCGGGAGUGUUAUAGCCUGUUGCAUAAUACCUCUCGGGGGACCGAGGUUCGCGCUUCUGCAAGGAUGCUGGCGUAAUGGUCAUCAGCGACCCGUCUUGAAACACGGACCAAGGAGUCAAGCAUUAGUGCGAGUGUUUGGGUGUAAAACCCGCACGCGUAAUGAAAGUGAACGUAGGUGAGAGCUUCGGCGCAUCAUCGACCGAUCCUGAUGUUCUCGGAUGGAUUUGAGUAAGAGCAUAACUGUUCGGACCCGAAAGAUGGUGAACUAUGCUUGGAUAGGGUGAAGCCAGAGGAAACUCUGGUGGAGGCUCGCAGCGGUUCUGACGUGCAAAUCGAUCGUCAAAUCUGCGCAUGGGGGCGAAAGACUAAUCGAACCAUCUAGUAGCU